Caenorhabditis elegans is the source of this 21-nucleotide non-coding RNA. The record is from Ensembl. Lineage: Eukaryota; Metazoa; Nematoda; Chromadorea; Rhabditida; Rhabditidae.
UUCUUUUCAACCAUUCAAGUU